UGAACCGUGUCUCAUGAAAGAUU
RNAcentral lists this non-coding RNA (23 nucleotides) under Arabidopsis thaliana (thale cress). The record is from RNAcentral. Lineage: Eukaryota; Viridiplantae; Streptophyta; Magnoliopsida; Brassicales; Brassicaceae.